Molecule: non-coding RNA, 5404 nt
Organism: Gasterosteus aculeatus aculeatus (three-spined stickleback)
Lineage: Eukaryota; Metazoa; Chordata; Actinopteri; Perciformes; Gasterosteidae
Source: RefSeq, a predicted model, not a curated record
CAGAACAGCACAAACAUGGCCGCACCGUGUUUGGCGCGGUGAUGCAUUGUGGGUGGGAAACACCAGAUCCCCGAUCGGUUUGCUGGCCAGAGUCGAGCCGCUCGUCAGGCCCCGGCUGCAUCUGUUGUUGUUGGAGUCUAGAGCCAGACUACAGCAGAAUUCCAACCCCCAAAUUCCUCCCGGGCUGACAAACGUCAACAAAGACCCCGAGAGACACCAAAGAGAGUGCAGUGUCAACAGACUGGCGAGGAGGAGGAAAGGGGCGGGGCUUAUAUGCAUCAGCCACCGGGAUUGGCUACCGGAUUCGACUCCUCUUCGCCAUUGGCCUGCCGCGCCGUCGCUCCAGGAUCCGUUCUCGCCGCUUCCCGCGCCACUCGGCGCGUGCACGCGCGAGGCGACCAGGCACGUACCCGCUGGGAGACUGUCUGGAGUCUGUCUGAAUUUGAUCAAAUUGGAGAUGGAGUUUUUAACAUCCGUUUGCAAAUUCACGAGGAACCCGCCUUGCUGGAAAAUGGGAUGUAUUUUAUGCGUUCGCCUCCUCAUAUUACGCCUCCGUCCACGAGCCGCCAGGCUGAGCCCCAAAAGAUAUUUUACAGAUAAAGGCUGUGAAAGUUUAUUCUUCUGCAGCCUGUCAGCAGACAGCUCUCCACGCACAGGAGAUCAGCAGUGUGGAGUUCAGGAGGAGUGCAUCACCCAGAAGGCAGCCUGCUCGGGUCAGAAAGGGAAGAGUACAGCUGAAGCAUGCACUGUCUUUGCAGGCCGGUCCCAGGCCUGAGUGAUGUAGAGUGAUUGGGAUUCCUCUGAGCGAGGAGAUUCCGUGUUUUCCUGCAGCCUGUCACGCCUUCACGUCUUCAACGCCGCCGUGUUUCCGCCCAAAUGGUCUGGCUGCCACUUCUGAACAACUCUAUCGCAGCCUGUCCCACAUCCGGACUGCAGAGAGAAUUUUAAGCUCAGGGCUGGUGGUGGACCAGGAGGAAGAUGUCAUGCUAAGGAUGGGUUUUUGGUGAUGAUGUUGCUGCUGUUGAUGCAGCAUCGAGCUCUCACUUUGUGCCUCUGUCAGUUAUGAUGCGUAACCACAAAGUGAGUGACAGGCUAAUCCCCGGGAGAGCAGGCGGCCUGAGGAUUGUCUUACACGUCAGCAGCACUAUGGAGUACUACAAAAGGUGACGCGCAGAAGGAGGAUUUGUGAAUGGACGCCGUGAUGUGUGCCAGCUCACAGAUCAGAGGGUGGUGGUGGUGGUGGGACCUCUGCAGAUGCACCCCGAGCCCCCUCUCCACCCGGCACUCCCUCCCUCCCUCCUUCCCUCCAGAUGAAUGGGGGUCUCGAUAUCAGCUCUGUCACCAUGCAGGGGUCGCACCAAAUCCUCCAGCUUCCUGUGCCUUUCAAACCCUGAAAGCAAGUCUCCCCUAUUUGAUGAUCCCAUAUGAUUUUUUUUGUUGUGCUUUUGUGGGCCUGGAAGCUCGCUGGCCCCUGUUUUCCAUCGCGGGGUCAGCCAAGAGCAUGGCAGCCGAAUUAGAGAAGAUUAGAAGCGGGCCUAAUUGUGUCUACACUGCACAAAGUCAAUCAGUCUUUCAGAGACAAUUAAUGUAGUUUAAAAAAACAAAAGAAAUACAAGAAAUUAAAGAUUUGGAGAGAGAUUAGCCGAGCAGCUGUUAUCCCAUUGUUUUACAGGAGGUGUGGUGCGUUGGAUGUGGGCAGAUCACAAGGCAUUUAUGUGUGUGUGUGUGUGUUAAUUUUGAUUAAAAACGAAUGCAAUCAUUUGAUCGCAUGGGUUUAUUUCUGCCACUUGUCAAGCUAUGGAUUUUUUUUCAAACCACGCUUAAUUAUUUUGGUCAAAUUUAGCGGAAAUAUUCGUAAUUUGUUUCAGUUUAUUCUUCUAAAAGCCAACGAUGUAAAAUUUAAAUUUUAGGCAACAUUUUGCACGGUGUGUCUCAAAGUAAUGCAUAUUGGUUUCUGCUGCAUCGCCUUUACUCCACUAUUUAUCCAUCACACAGCACCGCGCGUAGAUGAUGUCUAAAUCAUUUGUUUUGCCGUUGUGUGACAGUGUUUGCAGAUAAAUCCUCCGAGUCGCCGGGCAGCGGACUUUGGGGCCGUUGGAUCUUCUGGUUUCAGCCCUUUAUAGGUUUUAAUAACUCUUAAUCCGUCUGAUCGGUCUGGCGUAGAUAAGUCUCAUUUGAAUUGGGAUUGUUCUUAAGGAGCGGCUCGUAUUUCUCCACUGAAGUCUCAAACAGAGCUUAGCACAAACAACUGCACCACCCUGAGCGCAAUUAAGGCCUCAGCUAAAUUGGAUGAAGGCUAAUUGAAUGCGGCUGAGCUCCCGUCAGCAAACUCCUGAACGCGUCACUAAUAUGAUGAAAACGUUCGGCAGCAGCUUUUUGACCUUUUUAGUUGUGUAAAUGUGUGUUAAAAAUAAUGCGGCAGCAAAACUUUUUUGUUUGUCUCAUAAAAUUCAAACACUAAAGCAGACGUUUUGCGGUAUGUUGGAUGCAGAGGACACUUACGGCUGUUUAGGAAAUGUAAUGUUGAUAUCUGGUCUUGUUCAAGUGGGAAAUGUCGGGUUUUCAUUUGUUAUUGAUUUGUGUGUAAAUUCUAACUACGUGUAAUUGUGAAAGUUACUCACCCUUAAAACUCUCCAGGAGUGCUUUGUUUUAUUUAAAAAUCAAAAACUUUAAAUUAAACUUCAGGGCUCCUCAGAACGGAGGGUGACUUAUUUUGGCCUGACUACAAAAUGAAACCAAAGAGAAAUGAAAGUUAGAAUAAAAAUCCUAAAACAAUAAUCGGAUAUCUACGUAAAGGGUGAAAACGAAGACUCUUGCUCAAACCAUUAUGUGCUCGCGUGCUUCACUAUCAUUUCAUGCGUAGAGAGUUUGGCUUUCUAACUUUGAGCAUCAGGUAGUCCGGGUUAGUUUUCGACCCGCUAUACGGUGUCCGGUUUGUGCGCAUUCUCUCCCCCAGCUGGGCCGCAGGACUUUCCACGUCUUACUUGUGACAGCAAAGAAUGAACUACGCGUGGAGGCUAUUUCCGUGAGGUCAACGGGUUUACAUUCUCUGACAUACAGAAAGAAUCGGCUGCCAUGCAACAUGGGGGAGCCGUGGGGGGGCAAGGAGGAGAAGAAGAAGAAGAAGGAGGAGAGGAGCAGGUCAUUUAUGGAUGGACAUGUGCCGCAAAAUAGACCUAAAAGAAGAAACAAACACAUAUAAUGCAUAAAAACGAUUCCUCUCACUGACGCGGCCCGGUGGGGGCCCCCCUGAAGUUUUUGGCCCCCCGAUGUGAAGGUGCGAGCCCAGGAUGCUUUGCGAGUCUCAGAUCGUCUAAAUGCCUCGUGCACCUGUCUCGCGCUCCCGCGCGCGUUUAGGAGCCACGGUGAGAACAAGUGAGAGACGCACAGGUGGGAAGCACUUGCUGCAGGAUAAACAGAGUGAGUCCAAGCAGACAGGCCGAAACAUUGUUAAAUGUUAUUUAUUCCCAAAUAAAUAUCCUGCAAACCGGAGGCGGAAGGAAGUGUGCAAUCACACAUCUCCGGAAGAGGAAUUAUCCAAAUGUCGUUUGUCUCCAAACUAACUCUCAAAGUGGAUUAUUAAACCUGCAGCCAAUUUAUUUGGUUUUAUUCUCAUCCGGACUUUUGCGAAUGUAAAACAACACGCAGAUGUGAUCACGUCACUGGGUCAUAAAGGCGAUUUCAUCACGAAAACACAAACUUUUUCUUCUUCUUUAUCUCUCCCAUUUAUUUCCGUUUCCCAAAUAGGAGAAACAAUUCAUGUUAUGUCGCAGUGUCCCAGCUUGCAACUUUAAUUAUAGCGGAAGAAGGUCAGUCAGAAGCGGGUUUCCGACCCCUCUCCCUGUGUGGCAUCGCGCUGCGCGCCGCUUAACUGCCAAAAUAGCGCCGGACUGCCCUGAAAGCGCCGUGUGCGACAUGAGUCCCUUUCACCCCGCGUGCACCUGAGUUGUUUUUACCCCCCAGCAGCGGAUAUGCUGUGAAUUUGUCACUUAUCAGGGGCCAGGCUGUCAAGGGCCAUUUUAGGAGCAAUAACUUUCCCAGUUGGAUUUAGCCUGCCAACUUUGUGCGUCUCUCAGCAGCGAGAUGAAUGGGCUGCGUGCCUGUUGCUUCCCCAGAAAUGUCUCCUACGCCUACUAAUGGAGACUAAUUAAAACAUGACAAACAUCGACCUUUAGUGCAUUCUAAACAGGGCUGAAAGCAUGAUUUGGGUUAUGCAAAUGUGCUCUCUAUUCUGUGGCAAUAUUUAUGUGGGUGACAUAUUCCUCACAUGUGUCCGUUUGCUCCUUUAUGGGCCACAAAGUAAAUGUCUUUUCAUUUUUUUUCAUUCGAAGAAUAACCUUCUUUAUAUCUGAUAUAUAUGGGCUUCUUUUUCACCAUUCAAGGCACAUACCCAGGCCCACACAAAGCUAAUCCUAAAAUCAAAUGGAUCAUCUUUUCAUAUUUUAUUAUUUACAGAUAUCUAAGAAAGAAGCGCCAUACAUUUAUAACUUGUACUGUUUUGGACGUUUUUGUUGUCAGCAUCUCCGAAUAUGAUCAGGCAAUGAAAAUGCUCAGCUUGAUUUACUUCUUUACCUUUUCGUCAGUUAUCAUUACCACCAAGAUGUACCCGAUGUGUUUAAUUCACACUGGGAAGGAUUUGUUUAUGCAUCACCUGAGGUUUUCAUUUUAUUAUUGUCCUGCAGAGGAAGUAUGCUGAGUGAACUGAUUAAAAAGAUGUGAACUGUUGUCUACACCGUAAAGACAAUGCCGCAUCUGCACACGCUUCCCUGCCCUCUUACGUUUUCCUUUUAUAUCUUAGUUUCAGCCCUAAAUCACUGAAUGAAUGGAGACACAAAAAAUAUCCUAAGAACAGAAUUGAGAAAAGAAAAGGUUUCAGCAGAUGAUUACUCCCUCAGACAGGAACACGUGAGGCAGAGAGCAGCCCGAGACUUCCAUUUGAAUGGGAUCUGAGAGGUAAUUUGAGCUAAAAUGGAGUCCACUUCUGAGCCCCUCACUCAGCCACCCCCCCCACCCCCCCAUGGCAUCCACUGUAAUUCAUUAUUCCUGGCCGGCACUGGGAGAGGCAAUGAGCGAGGGCAGAGGACAGAGGACAGGAGCGGACCCGGCUCACGGUGUAAUGAAGACUCAGUCGACCUAAACCAACUCCACACACACACACACACACACACACACUCACACACACACCACACACAAUGUUUGAUUAUAUAUCACAGGGAGCAGGACAUUAAUGGCACUCAAGACCUUUUGGCAGAGAAAUAAGUGUGAGCAAUGAUUUUUCUCUAAAUCCAUUUCGGUGACCUUUUCUAUCAUGCAUGUGACUCUCUGCCUGCACUGCAGUGUGAGAUAAAUAUUCCAAGAACAAGCUUCCUUCCACUUUUUAAUAAACCCUCUCUUUGAAUCUGAA